Molecule: microRNA, 21 nt
Filed under: Gallus gallus (chicken)
Lineage: Eukaryota; Metazoa; Chordata; Aves; Galliformes; Phasianidae
Description: gga-miR-6592-3p
Source: miRBase by way of RNAcentral
AGCGUCUCCCGCCUGACGGCC